RNAcentral lists this ribosomal RNA (253 nucleotides) under uncultured bacterium. RNAcentral describes it as "partial 16S ribosomal RNA". It matches the Rfam family "Bacterial small subunit ribosomal RNA", at positions 524 to 776 of the family's 1533-position model. The record is from RNAcentral.
UACGUAGGGGGCAAGCGUUGUCCGGAUUUAUUGGGCGUAAAGAGCGUGUAGGCGGCCGUACAGGUCAGCUGUGAAAACUCGAGGCUCAACCUCGAGACGUCGGUUGAAACCGUACGGCUAGAGUCCGGAAGAGGAGAGUGGAAUUCCCGGUGUAGCGGUGAAAUGCGCAGAUAUCGGGAAGAACACCCGUGGCGAAGGCGGCUCUCUGGGACGGUACUGGCGCUGAGACGCGAAAGCGUGGGGAGCGAACAGG